RNAcentral lists this ribosomal RNA (926 nucleotides) under uncultured bacterium. RNAcentral's name for it is "bacterial SSU rRNA". It matches the Rfam family "Bacterial small subunit ribosomal RNA", at positions 8 to 916 of the family's 1533-position model. The record is from RNAcentral.
AGAGUUUGAUCCUGGCUCAGGACGAACGCUGGCGGCGUGCUAAUACAUGCAAGUCGAGCGGACAGAUGGGAGCUUGCUCCCUAAUGUUAGCGGCGGACGGGUGAGUAACACGUGGGUAACCUGCCCGUAAGACUGGGAUAACUCCGGGAAACCGGGGCUAAUACCGGAUGGUUGUUUGAACCGCAUGGUUCAAACAUAAAAGGUGGCUUCGGCUACCACUUACAGAUGGACCCGCGGCGCAUUAGCUAGUUGGUGAGGUAACGGCUCACCAAGGCGACGAUGCGUAGCCGACCUGAGAGGGUGAUCGGCCACACUGGGACUGAGACACGGCCCAGACUCCUACGGGAGGCAGCAGUAGGGAAUCUUCCGCAAUGGACGAAAGUCUGACGGAGCAACGCCGCGUGAGUGAUGAAGGUUUUCGGAUCGUAAAGCUCUGUUGUUAGGGAAGAACAAGUACCGUUCGAAUAGGGCGGUACCUUGACGGUACCUAACCAGAAAGCCACGGCUAACUACGUGCCAGCAGCCGCGGUAAUACGUAGGUGGCAAGCGUUGUCCGGAAUUAUUGGGCGUAAAGGGCUCGCAGGCGGUUUCUUAAGUCUGAUGUGAAAGCCCCCGGCUCAACCGGGGAGGGUCAUUGGAAACUGGGGAACUUGAGUGCAGAAGAGGAGAGUGGAAUUCCACGUGUAGCGGUGAAAUGCGUAGAGAUGUGGAGGAACACCAGUGGCGAAGGCGACUCUCUGGUCUGUAACUGACGCUGAGGAGCGAAAGCGUGGGGAGCGAACAGGAUUAGAUACCCUGGUAGUCCACGCCGUAAACGAUGAGUGCUAAGUGUUAGGGGGUUUCCGCCCCUUAGUGCUGCAGCUAACGCAUUAAGCACUCCGCCUGGGGAGUACGGUCGCAAGACUGAAACUCAAAUGAAUUGACGG